AAGACCUUGCACUUUUGGAGCGGCCGAUGUCUGAUUAGCUAGUUGGUGGGGUAAUGGCCUACCAAAGCUUCGAUCAGUAGCUGGUCUGAGAGGACGGCCAGCCACACUGGGACUGAGACACGGCCCAGACUCCUACGGGAGGCAGCAGUGGGGAAUUUUGGACAAUGGGGGCAACCCUGAUCCAGCCAUGCCGCGUGAGUGAAGAAGGCCUUCGGGUUGUAAAGCUCUUUCAGCCGGAACGAAACGGUUACGGUUAAUACCCGUGAUUACUGACGGUACCGGAAGAAGAAGCACCGGCUAACUACGUGCCAGCAGCCGCGGUAAUACGUAGGGUGCGAGCGUUAAUCGGAAUUACUGGGCGUAAAGCGUGCGCAGGUGGUUUUGUAAGUCAGAUGUGAAAUCCCCGGGCUUAACCUGGGAACU
Molecule: ribosomal RNA, 423 nt
Filed under: uncultured bacterium
Lineage: Bacteria
Description: bacterial SSU rRNA
Rfam family: Bacterial small subunit ribosomal RNA
Source: RNAcentral